Long non-coding RNA from Vespa velutina, 705 nucleotides. RefSeq lists it as uncharacterized. The transcript has 3 exons. Lineage: Eukaryota; Metazoa; Arthropoda; Insecta; Hymenoptera; Vespidae. The record is from RefSeq and is a predicted model, not a curated record.
CGUAUAUAUAUAGAGAAAGAGAGGGAGAGAGCGAGAGAGAAGUGCGCGCGCGCGCGCGCAACCGAGUGGCCGGCCGAGCGAGAACGCACAUAGAGUACGCCGCGUACGGAUUGGAAUGGAACGCGUCGCGGACCACGGCGAAGGAAGUGUUGGAGCGAAAGAGAGAGAGAGAAAGAGAGCGAGAGAGAUAGAUAGGGAGAGGGAAAGAGAGAAAGAGAGAGAGAUAGCUGAGUGACAGAAAAUAAAAGUGAACGAAGAGGAUUCGUGUUAUGGAAGAGAAACGCGAAACGACAGGAUCAAUCGUGUGGAUAACGAACGAAAUGAUGUUCUUCUUAAUAAGGAAGGAUCGUGUCGGCGACACCUGUGUAUUUUGUGCGCUAUCAUAGUACGAGGGAGAUUAAUUGAUUCGUCCCUUCGAUUUACUAAACAAAAAAAUAUCUCCGGUGCUCUGGGGUCUUUCUUGCGAUAACUGCGAGACGCGAGAGCGUGGAGGGAAGAAAAAAAAAUGAUUGAAUCGUGGAGGAAGUAUCAUUGGAGAGGAACAAGUACUACGGCAACGAGAAAAACUAAAACAGCGUAGCGGUCGACGGGUUAGCGAUCGCUCGAAGAGGAAGAAGAAGAGGAAGAAGAAGAAGAAGAAGAAGAAGAAGAAGAAGAAGAAGAAGGAGGAGGAGGAAGAGGAAGGGUAGAAGAAAGAGAAGGAGG